RNAcentral lists this ribosomal RNA (787 nucleotides) under uncultured bacterium. Its description in RNAcentral is "bacterial SSU rRNA". It matches the Rfam family "Bacterial small subunit ribosomal RNA", at positions 8 to 796 of the family's 1533-position model. The record is from RNAcentral.
AGAGUUUGAUCAUGGCUCAGAGCGAACGCUGGCGGCGUGCUUAACACAUGCAAGUCGAGUGCGCGCCUGUAGCAAUACAGGUGGCGCACGGCGCACGGGUGCGUAACACGUGGGCAAUCUGCCCUCGGAUGGGGGAUAACUCGCCGAAAGGCGAGCUAAUACCGCAUGACAUUCCUGGGACUCCGGCCCCGGGACUCAAAGGCCGCAAGGCCGUCUGAGGAGGAGCCCGCGCCCGAUUAGCUAGUUGGUGAGGUAACGGCUCACCAAGGCUUUGAUCGGUAGCCGGUCUGAGAGGAUGGCCGGCCACACUGGAACUGAGACACGGUCCAGACUCCUACGGGAGGCAGCAGUGGGGAAUAUUGCGCAAUGGGCGAAAGCCUGACGCAACGACGCCGCGUGGGGGAUGAAGCUUCUCGGAGUGUAAACCCCUUUCGACCCGGACGAAUGACCCGCAAGGGUUUGACGGUACGGGUAUAAGAAGCCCCGGCUAACUACGUGCCAGCAGCCGCGGUAAUACGUAGGGGGCCAGCGUUGCUCGGAAUUACUGGGCGUAAAGGGUUCGUAGGUGGUGCGGCAAGUUGGAAGUGAAAUCUCUGGGCUUAACUCAGAGGCUGCUUUCAAAACUGCCGUGCUCGAGUGCGGGAGAGGCCAGUGGAAUUGCAGGUGUAGCGGUGAAAUGCGUAGAUAUCUGCAGGAACACCCGUGGCGAAGGCGGCUGGCUGGACCGCAACUGACACUGAGGAACGAAAGCUAGGGGAGCAAACAGGAUUAGAUACCCUAGUAGUCC